This 253-nucleotide ribosomal RNA is filed under the name uncultured bacterium. RNAcentral describes it as "partial 16S ribosomal RNA". It matches the Rfam family "Bacterial small subunit ribosomal RNA", at positions 524 to 776 of the family's 1533-position model. The record is from RNAcentral.
UACGUAGGGUGCGAGCGUUAAUCGGAAUUACUGGGCGUAAAGCGUGCGCAGGCGGUAAGUUAAGUCUGAUGUGAAAGCCCCGGGCUCAACCUGGGAACGGCAUUGGAAACUGGCUUGCUAGAGUGUGGCAGAGGGGGGUGGAAUUCCGCGUGUAGCAGUGAAAUGCGUAGAGAUGCGGAGGAACACCGAUGGCGAAGGCAGCCCCCUGGGCCAACACUGACGCUCAGGCACGAAAGCGUGGGGAGCGAACAGG